CCACCCAACGGGUAUCCAUAUGAGGGCACAAGGCGAGACCCAGAUGCAGACACGGGAGGCAGAUGGUUUGAGUCUUUGAUAUUUAUUAAUAAUCCAAAAACAGUAGGCGAGAGUAUAGCCGUGGUCAGGCAAAAAAGGUCAAAACCAGUUCAGAGUCCAGGAGGUACAGAGUGGCAGGCAGGCUCGAGGUCAGGGCAGGUAAAACAGGUUGGCAGGCUCGAGGUCAGGGCAGGUAAAACAGGUUGGCAGGCUCGAGGUCAGGGCAGGUAAAACAGGCUGGCAGGCUCGAGGUCAGGGCAGGUAAAACAGGUUGGCAGGCUCGAGGUCAGGGCAGGUAAAACAGGUUGGCAGGCUCGAGGUCAGGGCAGGUAAAACAGGUUGGCAGGCUCGAGGUCAGGGCAGGUAAAACAGGUUGGCAGGCUCGAGGUCAAGGCAGGUAAAACAGGUUGGCAGGCUCGAGGUCAAGGCAGGUAAAACAGGUUGGCAGGCUCGAGGUCAGGGCAGGUAAAACAGGCUGGCAGGCUCGAGGUCAGGGCAGGUAAAUCAGGCUGGCAGGCCCGAGGUCAGGGCAGGUAAAACAGGUUGGCAGGCUCGAGGUCAGGGCAGGUAAAACAGGUUGGCAGGCUCGAGGUCAGGGCAGGUAAAACAGGUUGGCAGGCUCGAGGUCAAGGCAGGUAAAACAGGUUGGCAGGCUCGAGGUCAAGGCAGGUAAAACAGGUUGGCAGGCUCGAGGUCAGGGCAGGUAAAACAGGCUGGCAGGCUCGAGGUCAGGGCAGGUAAAACAGGUUGGCAGGCUCGAGGUCAGCGCAGGUAAAACAGGCUGGCAGGCUCGAGGUCAGGGCAGGCAGAAUGGUCAGGCAGGCUCGAGGUCAGGGCAGGCAGAAUGGUCAGGCUGGCGGGUACAGAGUCCAGAAAACAGGGUCAAGGGUCAAAACCGGGAGGACUAGAAAAAGAGAACAGAAAAGGCAGGAGCACGGGAAAACCGCUAGUGGACUUGGAAACAUACAAG
Long non-coding RNA from Oncorhynchus tshawytscha (Chinook salmon), 1009 nucleotides. Lineage: Eukaryota; Metazoa; Chordata; Actinopteri; Salmoniformes; Salmonidae. The record is from Ensembl.